UCGGGUGUGAUGACCGCUUGCUUCUUGACAUUACCGUGAUGUUUCUUGUAUUCAUACUGUCUGACCCGU
This is a small nucleolar RNA of Brienomyrus brachyistius, 69 nucleotides long. NCBI's taxonomy places the organism in Eukaryota, Metazoa, Chordata, Actinopteri, Osteoglossiformes, Mormyridae. The record is from RefSeq and is a predicted model, not a curated record.